Molecule: ribosomal RNA, 480 nt
Filed under: uncultured bacterium
Lineage: Bacteria
Description: SSU rRNA
Rfam family: Bacterial small subunit ribosomal RNA
Source: RNAcentral
AGAAUGAACGCUGGCGGCGUGCUUAACACAUGCAAGUCGAACGGAAUCCAAGGAGCUUGCUCUGGAAGAUUUAGUGGCGAACGGGUGAGUAUCACGUGAGCAACCUGCCCCGAAGACUGGGAUAACACCGGGAAACCGGUGCUAAUACCGGAUACCUUCCAAUGACCGCAUGGUCGAUGGAAGAAAUGUUUUUCGCUUCGGGAGGGGCUCGCGGUCCAUCAGCUUGUUGGCGGGGUAACGGCCCACCAAGGCUUCGACGGAUAGCUGGUCUGAGAGGACGAUCAGCCACACUGGAACUGAGACACGGUCCAGACUCCUACGGGAGGCAGCAGUGGGGAAUCUUGCGCAAUGGACGAAAGUCUGACGCAGCAACGCCGCGUGAGGGACGAAGGUUUUCUGAAUUGUAAACCUCUUUCGACAGGGACGAUAAUGACGGUACCUGUAGAAGAGCACGGCCAACUAUGUGCCAGCAGCCGCGGU